CAAACUAGCCAAACAAAACUUACCCAUACAAAUUCCAACCAAAACGCAUCUCAUCGCAAACAAAAAAAAUCCCCACAGCAUCUGGAUAAUAAAAGCAAAAAAAAAACUUCCAGUUGGAGGCCAUAUUUAUCCGCGUCACUAUAUUAUCCCCCACAAACCCAAAUGUCAAAUCAAAAAAGAAUGUCAAUUAAUUUUUCCAUUUUAUAUCCCAACAGGAAGAAAGAAAAUCAACGACAAAAAAGGAAUUAAGAAAAAAAAUCUCCCCACAGCUCUUUUUUAUAUUAACCAGAGCAAAAAGAAGAAAUCAAAAAAAAAAAAAAAUUUUCUCCAUCGUGUCCGACGAACGACGACAAACUUUGCUCGCUCUGCGAAAGAAAAUUUGAAAAAGUGAAAAUUUUAUAUUUUUUAUUUUUCUAUAAAAAUGCAUAAAAGAAAAUUCCAAAAAAUGUUAUAUGUGAGAUAGUUAAUAUCCAAAUAAACUUUGUUGUUUGUUAUUUUUUCUUUUUUAACUAUGUUUUUUUAUGUGUUAAAAAAAAUUUUUCCCAAAAAGAAGAGAAUUUGAGCAUUUAUAAAUAAGAAGAAAAAAAAAAUUUAUCGUCGUGAACGUGAAUUUUGGAUGAAAAAUUCACACACACAUACAUUCACAAAAAUAAGCACACAUACAUAUACAAACAAACACACCAACGUAACGUUCAUUUAUUAAGUGAAAAAUCAGAAAGAAAAAGAAAAACGAACAAAAAAAAGGAGAGAUUGAGAGGAAAAACGCAGAAGAAAGAAGCAAGAGGCAAAUAAUAGCAAAGGCAAAGGAAAAGUUGUGAACUUUUUUGCUUGCUACUGCUUCAUCUAUCCAUUCUCCAAAUCUCCUUCAUCCAGCAGCUCCGUGGAGCUCUUCCCCACACACCCUUCUCUUUUUUUCUUAUGCUUUUUUUUUAUUCCCACUAAAUCGUGAGUGAGAAAGACACAAAAAAAAAAAAAAAAAAACCCAGGAAGCAUCAUCUUCUUGAUUAAGACUUCCACAGAGUUUCCAUAGAAUCUCUUCGAAAUCAUGGAAUCAACUCUAAGUGGAGUCGCAUCGAUUCCUCUUUUCUUAGAAUUGAAGAACGAUUGCGACAGUUUGAUGACGCUCAAUGACAAUUCGUUGUCGCAACAAAUCGAAUUUAUCCUCCAAGAUCCAAUUCCGGAUCGUACUCCGCCAGCUACUCCCAAAUUGAAUAUCGACUCAAAUGGCUACUUAAUAAGUCGUACAGAUUCGGGGGGAGGUAAUGGCAACGAUGAGUACCAAAUAAUGGACUCGUCAGUGAUCAAAGUCGAACGAAUGGACGAUGACGACGAUGUUGGUCGCGAAGAGGAGAUAACUACUCUCAAUUCUUCGUCGUCAUCCGGCUUGAAUCACUUGCACCAUAACUCGGAGGAGGUUGGUUCAGUAUCUUUGAUGGAUGCUGCAGCUAUAUCGGAGGACGAGGACGAUGAGGAUGGUAUAUCGCCAUCUUCGUCGUCGGUGUCUAGUUCCUCAAUCCCGAUUAAAAUCGAGGGAACACAGACUUAUUAUUUAAGUCGUAAUUCGACCAUUACAACCACGACCUCCUCCUCCACCAAUACAAACUAUAACAAUAACCACCAUCAUCGUCGACAGUCAUCGAUAGAACAAGCACCCACCACUAGCGGCGGCGGCAGUAGCUGCAGUAGCACUAGCAGCAGCACUGUCAUAGCCACCACUUCGUCGCAAGGUCCACCACCGCCGCCAACACCACCGCAAGAAUACCAAUGUUUUGAGUGUGUGGAAAAGUUCGACAACAAGGAACUUUUUGAGAUCCAUAAAACUGGACAUGCUAAUAAUAUGAAAUGUGCCAUUUGUAAUAUGGUAUUGAAAAGCUUGAAAAACUAUGAGAAACAUUGCUUGCGUUGCAAGCCGUAUGAGUGCCAAAUAUGCGGCAGAGUUGUACGUUUUCGGCCGAAUUUUAUUAAACAUAUGCGUGUUCAUACUGGACAGCAAUCGGAAAGGCACAAAUACAAGUGCGAUGUUUGUUUGAAGGAGUUUAUGAGCUUUGAGUAUUUUAAAGUGCACAAGAAGAUUCACAACGAUAAUGUUAAUUUGACAUGUGAGAUAUGCGGGAAGGUGUUUAGUGCAUUGGCAUCGUUGAGGGGUCAUUCCAAGUUGCAUUCGGGAGUUAAAUUGCACAAAUGCGAUGUUUGCGGCAAAGGCUUUGGUCAACGAUAUAAUUUAAAAAUCCAUGCUCGCACUCACACCGGUGACUUUCCAUUUGAGUGCAAAGUCUGCAAGAAAAAACUUCAUACGCAGUCAAGUCUGCAAACUCACAUGCAAACCCAUCAAAAAGAUCAAACAAGCCAAGUGACCACCACCAUUAAAUACGAGCCACUUGCCGCCGCCGCCGUCAAAGUCGAACCACUCGACGCACAACAAGAACAACAGCAGCAAGAGCUGCACCAUCACCAACAAUUGCUCCAUCAACACGAAAUGCUCAUACAGCCGAAGCAUAAUCAAGAAGUCGAAGAUGUUACAAUGUACUCGCACAACCACAACAAUAAUAAUACAACAGCCAACGCAACAACAAGCACCACCACCGAGGAAUCCUCGAACGAAUCUCAUCAUGAUAACAACAUGACACUUGUGAUAAAGAACGAUGUACAAAACGGGCCUCCCACUCAGGUUACAUACGCACAACAACAGCCGCAUCAUCUGCGGCAUCAACAAAGCCACCAGUUCCAACGGGUCUCAGCAAUAAUUAAGUCCACCGCUGCAUCCAUGUCGUCGCAGUCGCCAACGUCCCUGGUCAUCUCUCCAUCACCAUCGCCAUCAUCUUCGUCGUCCUCGUCACAGUCCGCCUCAUCGCCGGGCUCACACGAAUCGGCUUCAGCCUCGGCAUCCACUUCUGGAGGAGCCCGAGUCGCUCACACAUCGCUAUCAUCAGUGUCAUCAACGUCCUUGAGACACACAAACGAGAACUCACCGUCCCUGGCCACUACGGCCCUACUAAUCAAAAGCGAACCAAAUCUUUACUCCUCAGGUGAUAACUCUGUUGACAUGUUCAUCAAAAAAGAAAUAUUCGACGAGUGCUCAGCACCGUCACAAAACUCUCCACCGACUUCGAAAUAUCAUACGAAUUUCGAUGGCGACGAUUUAGUCGACGCACACGAUCUAACGCAUUCGUUACCUUACUCGAAUCUCUUCGAACCGAACUCGAUUCCAGACAGCAUUCCAGAUGACCUCUACCCGGACGACCCAGACGACUUUCGACUGGACCAUAGCUCUUUGGGCCUACAAUCGUCCACCACCGAUGGGGAUUUCAUCAAGAAGGAGUGGGUUUAUGGGUCCGGGACGGGUUACACGAUCAAUGGCAAGUUCGACGAUGACAGCGACGCUCUCUGUGAUCCUGCCAACUUUAUUUACAAUUAACAAAAGUAAAAAAUAACACUUGUCUUGUCGUCUCGUUGUCAUUGUUGUUGUCAUCUUCACUAUCACCAUAGUGGCGGGUGUCGUCAAUUCAGUAGACCCCCGCUCACUUUUUGUUGUCGAUUUUUAAGCGCAAAAAUGCAUGCAUAAUCUCUAUCUUUCCACCAAAACUAAACGUACUGUGACAUGAGGAGUUCUUUUUAACGCAGCAGCAGGCCAGCAUCAAAUAUAUUUUCCUUAGGGUAUCUACUGCCUCUUCUACGGAAAAAAAUGACAAAAUUCUUCAAAUUGUAUAUUUGUCGCUUCACCUUUGGUACUUUGGGACAGAUUUCUUAUCCAGCUUAAGAGGUCCUGGAACAAGAAAAAAUUAUUUAUUUAUUUUUUUUGUUAUGCAAACUUGCCUAGAUGGUGAAUUUUAUAUGCAUAUUGCCGUAAAUUAAGCUUCACAGACUGCAAGAGAUAAUAAUUUUAUUAUUAUUUAUUUUGUACGCGUACCUAUUUUAAGCAUUUUAUUUGUGUUUUUAUUUUUUGUAUUUAGCUCUUUUUGUAUAAAAUUCUAAACAUACAAAAUCACGUGCAAUCAGCUCGAAGUUUAUAGAUUUAUUAUUUUUUUUUAUUAAUUUUAACAUUUACAUAUUUCUUUAUAUAGAUAUAAUUUUAGAUAAAAAAAAUAUAAACAAAAAAUACAUACAUAAAAUGUGAUUCUUUCACACAAAAAAGUGUAAAAGUAGAUCGAUAAAAGUUAAACUUUAAUUUAUCAUAUUUAAUGUGAAAUUAGUAGAUUAUCUCGAAUUCUUUUUAUUAUUAUAAUAGUUUUAUUAUUUUUUAAAUUUUGCUAAUUAUAUAGUGUAAGUAAUUUGACGACAGAAAAAAUAAAAUGUUGCAAAUCUGUUGAGUAAACAUUUAUUAUAUACACCCACAGGCAGAAUCGAACGCAACUAAAUUUAAUAGAAAACAAAAUUAUUAAAAAAAUAAAUAAAUUUUGAUUUGUAGAAAAAUUCGAAUUUAAGUAUAAAUCCAUGUGUACCUGUGUAAAUUUGAGCAAUAGAAUAAUUUUUAAAAUUAAUAAAAUUAAAUUAAAAUACAAAAGAGAUACACACACACACGCACAUUAAAUUAACCUUACCUCUCCCAGUGAUCAAGGACGAUUUUGUUCUUUUAAAUUAAGUGAUAACUCUUCUUAUAAUUAUGAUUUCUAUUAGCCCAGUAAACAAAGUAACCAACAAUUCAACACCUUGGAAAUCUUAUCCACUGUAUCUUGUCUAGAGAUGAUCUAAAAAAAGUACUUAAGAAAUUCAAGUUAGCUCCAGUAGCAGUAAAGAAGAAGAUGCUGUUUUUUUCUGUUUU
This is an RNA transcript of Episyrphus balteatus (marmalade hoverfly), 4759 nucleotides long. It is a transcript of the gene named Krueppel homolog 1, with no coding region annotated. The transcript has 3 exons. The record is from RefSeq and is a predicted model, not a curated record. NCBI's taxonomy places the organism in Eukaryota, Metazoa, Arthropoda, Insecta, Diptera, Syrphidae.